This 332-nucleotide unclassified non-coding RNA is filed under the name soil metagenome. RNAcentral describes it as "partial contains 5.8S ribosomal RNA, internal transcribed spacer 2, and large subunit ribosomal RNA". The stretch from base 1 to 120 matches the Rfam family "5.8S ribosomal RNA", at positions 35 to 154 of the family's 154-position model. The record is from RNAcentral.
GAUGAAGAACGUAGCGAAAUGCGAUAAGUAAUGUGAAUUGCAGAAUUCAGUGAAUCAUCGAAUCUUUGAACGCAUAUUGCGCCCGCCAGUAUUCUGGCGGGCAUGCCUGUCCGAGCGUCAUUUCAACCAUCAAGCCCCGGGCUUGUGUUGGGGACCUGCGUCCGACGCAGGCCCUGAAAACCAGUGGCGGGCUCGCUGUCCACACCGAGCGUAGUAACUAACCUCGCUAUGGAGUGGCGCGGGCGCCUGCCGUAAAACCCCCAAUUUCACAAGGUUGACCUCGGAUCAGGUAGGAAUACCCGCUGAACUUAAGCAUAUCAAUAAGCGGAGGA